This 253-nucleotide ribosomal RNA is filed under the name uncultured bacterium. Its description in RNAcentral is "partial 16S ribosomal RNA". It matches the Rfam family "Bacterial small subunit ribosomal RNA", at positions 524 to 776 of the family's 1533-position model. The record is from RNAcentral.
UACGUAGGGUGCAAGCGUUAAUCGGAAUUACUGGGCGUAAAGCGUGCGCAGGCGGCUUUGCAAGUCAGAUGUGAAAUCCCCGGGCUUAACCUGGGAACCGCGUUUGAAACUACAAGGCUAGAGUGUGGCAGAGGGGGGUGGAAUUCCACGUGUAGCAGUGAAAUGCGUAGAGAUGUGGAGGAACACCGAUGGCGAAGGCAGCCCCCUGGGUUAACACUGACGCUCAGGCACGAAAGCGUGGGGAGCAAACAGG